GCUAGUUGGUGAGGUAAUGGCUCACCAAGGCGACGAUCCGUAACUGGUCUGAGAGGAUGAUCAGUCACACUGGAACUGAGACACGGUCCAGACUCCUACGGGAGGCAGCAGUGGGGAAUAUUGGACAAUGGGCGAAAGCCUGAUCCAGCCAUGCCGCGUGUGUGAAGAAGGUCUUCGGAUUGUAAAGCACUUUAAGUUGGGAGGAAGGGCAUUAACCUAAUACGUUAGUGUUUUGACGUUACCGACAGAAUAAGCACCGGCUAACUCUGUGCCAGCAGCCGCGGUAAUACAGAGGGUGCAAGCGUUAAUCGGAAUUACUGGGCGUAAAGCGCGCGUAGGUGGUUUGUUAAGUUGGAUGUGAAAUCCCCGGGCUCAACCUGGGAACUGCAUUCAAAACUGACAAGCUAGAGU
This 411-nucleotide ribosomal RNA is filed under the name bacterium SA065. Its description in RNAcentral is "bacterial SSU rRNA". It matches the Rfam family "Bacterial small subunit ribosomal RNA", at positions 244 to 647 of the family's 1533-position model. The record is from RNAcentral.